AAACCAGUCGAUCUAUCCAUGGCCAGGUUGAAAGUAGGGUAACACCUACUGGAGGACCGAACCGGUGCCUGUUGAAAAAGUCUCGGAUGAGCUGUGGAUAGGGGUGAAAGGCCAAUCAAGGCUGGAAAUAGCUGGUUCUCCGCGAAAUCUAUUUAGGUAGAGCCUCGAGUGAAUACCCCGAGGGGGUAGAGCACUGGAUGGGCUACGGGGCCCCCACAGGGUUACCAAACCUAACCAAACUCCGAAUACCUGGGAGUACUACUCGGGAGACACACGGCGGGUGCUAACGUCCGUCGUGAAAAAGGGAAAAACCCUGACCGACAGCUAAGGUCCUCAAGUCAUGGCUAAGGUGGGAAAGGAUGUGGAAAUCCCAAAACAACCAGGAGGUUGGCUUAGAAGCAGCCAUCCUUUAAAGAAAGCGUAACAGCUCACUGGUCUAAAUAAGGGUUUCUGCGCCGAAAAUGUAACGGGG
This 472-nucleotide ribosomal RNA is filed under the name uncultured bacterium. RNAcentral's name for it is "bacterial LSU rRNA". It matches the Rfam family "Bacterial large subunit ribosomal RNA", at positions 718 to 1180 of the family's 2925-position model. The record is from RNAcentral.